Long non-coding RNA from Otolemur garnettii (small-eared galago), 411 nucleotides. RefSeq lists it as uncharacterized. The record is from RefSeq and is a predicted model, not a curated record. The transcript is spliced from 3 exons. NCBI's taxonomy places the organism in Eukaryota, Metazoa, Chordata, Mammalia, Primates, Galagidae.
UAAAGCAUUUUGGAGAUGUUAUUCCUCAAAACAUGUCUUACAGGCAUUAAAUCUAUUGGUAUUUUCAUGACUUGGAGGAGAGUGUUGACAUGGAAUGGUUAAGUGCCUUGUCCAAGGCCCCACAGGAGGAACGUCGUUCAAUCAGCUGGUUUUGAUGGCCUUCCAAAUGGCCUUGCCUUGUCUAGGGAAGACCUGACAAGUAGAAAGAAAAAAAAACAAAUGGAUCACUGUCAUAUAUGCGGUUCGUGGGCGACCAUUCAGCACCUGUCCGUCUGUGCAUGCUGAUACACAAAAUGUAAAGUAUCCUUCUUCUUCUUUUGCUGUCUAAUGCAGUUAUGUUUAUGCCCAAAACGCCGGAGAAGAGUUAAUUCACUGACUGCAGAGGAAAUUUGAUGGGCUAAGACUAGAAUG